UACGAAGGGGGCUAGCGUUGCUCGGAAUCACUGGGCGUAAAGCGCGUGUAGGCGGCUCGGUAAGUGGGUCGUGAAAGCGCCCGGCUAAACUGGGCGAGGACGAUCGAGACUGCCAGGCUAGAGGGUGGUAGAGGGACAGGGAAUUCCGGGUGUAGCGGUGAAAUGUGUAGAGAUCCGGAGGAACACCAGUGGCGAAGGCGCUGUCCUGGGCCACCUCUGACGCUGAUACGCGAAGGCGUGGGGAGCGAACGGG
Molecule: ribosomal RNA, 253 nt
Filed under: uncultured bacterium
Lineage: Bacteria
Description: partial 16S ribosomal RNA
Rfam family: Bacterial small subunit ribosomal RNA
Source: RNAcentral